UAAGGAAUAUUGGACAAUGGAGGCAACUCUGAUCCAGCCAUGCCGCGUGAAGGAAUAAGGCCUUAUGGGUUGUAAACUUCUUUUAGACGGGACAAAACCCCUUUACGUGUAAAGGGUUGAUGGUACUGUCAGAAUAAGCAUCGGCUAACUUCGUGCCAGCAGCCGCGGUAAUACGAAGGAUGCAAGCGUUAUCCGGAAUUAUUGGGUUUAAAGGGUGCGUAGGCGGACUAAUAAGUCAGUGGUGAAAGCCUGCAGCUUAACUGCAGAAUUGCCAUUGAUACUGUUAGUCUUGAGUACAGUUGAGGAAGGCGGAAUGUGUCAUGUAGCGGUGAAAUGCUUAGAUAUGACACAGAACACCGAUUGCGAAGGCAGCUUGCUAAGCUGUAACUGACGAUGAGGCACGAAAGCGUGGGGAGCAAACA
This 422-nucleotide ribosomal RNA is filed under the name uncultured bacterium. RNAcentral describes it as "bacterial SSU rRNA". It matches the Rfam family "Bacterial small subunit ribosomal RNA", at positions 355 to 774 of the family's 1533-position model. The record is from RNAcentral.